AAAUAUUCAGUCCAUUUUCUGGAGCUGAUCCAAAGGCAUAGAGUAAAAUUGUAAAAAUUAUAAGAAGUUAAAGAUUUUUCCUAAUUACAAAGACAAAGAGUAGAGGUAUUGAUCUCUGUGAUUCUUAUUGAUCUCUUUAAUUCCUUGCAUCAUAAUGGAUUUCAUGUUUUUUUGAUAAAUGAUGCUUGUAUCUCUUUAUUCCUUGCUUCAUUGUGGAGUCUACGGGCUUGCGAUUAAGAUAUGUCUAAGAACAGAAAUUAAAGUGAAAUUUUGGUAUAAUUUUAGUUUGAUUCUUUAUUGUUUAGAUUCUGAUUCAGUAUGAUUAU
RNAcentral lists this unclassified non-coding RNA (326 nucleotides) under Hevea brasiliensis (rubber tree). Lineage: Eukaryota; Viridiplantae; Streptophyta; Magnoliopsida; Malpighiales; Euphorbiaceae. The record is from RNAcentral.